AUUGAACGCUAGCGGGAUGCUUAACACAUGCAAGUCGAACGAGUGGCGGACGGGUGAGUAAUAUCUCGGAACGUGCCCAGUAGCGGGGGAUAACUACUCGAAACAGUGGCUAAUACCGCAUACUAUUGGAGCGGCCGAUAUUGGAUUAGCUAGUUGGUGGGGUAAAGGCUCACCAAGGCAACGAUCCGUAGCUGGUGUGAGAGGACGACCAGCCACACUGGGACUGAGACACGGUCCAGACUCCUACGGGAGGCAGCAGUGGGGAAUAUUGCACAAUGGGCGCAAGCCUGAUGCAGCCAUGCCGCGUGUAUGAAGAAGGCCUUAGGGUUGUAAAGUACUUUCAGUCGGGAGGCGUUACCGACAGAAGAAGCACCGGCUAACUCCGUGCCAGCAGCCGCGGUAAUAC
This 406-nucleotide ribosomal RNA is filed under the name uncultured bacterium. RNAcentral's name for it is "partial 16S ribosomal RNA". It matches the Rfam family "Bacterial small subunit ribosomal RNA", at positions 30 to 526 of the family's 1533-position model. The record is from RNAcentral.